ACCAUCGGUAAAAGCUCCAUACUAUUAACUGCAGUCUUACCAUUGCCGCUAAAGGUUUUUCCAAAAAAAAAGUUAAAUGAGAUUUGAACCCACAACCCUUUGGAUAGUACCCAAGCACUUAACCACUCAGCUACACAAAAAUAUGUGUUUAUUACGAAAAUUAUAAUAUUUCUACUAUACAACAACAUUAUUACCACGGUUUUUGGCUUACAGCUGUACAUAGUACUUUUACCUGUGGUUUCAUAUUGUUGUCGUUAAUAGUCACCAUUACCGGCGAUUUUAUUGUACGGUGGUUUGUCUUUAUCCCUGGUAAUUGCGCCCUUUACCGACGGAUUUAUUAUCACAGGUAAAAAAAAAAAACCGCCAAUAAAGGCUAUUUUUGGCAUAGUAUAUGUAGACUCCCACAAUGAGUCGGGUGUUAUGCUUUCUUUUCUCUUAUCUGUUGAGUAUUCAAUUUAUUUCGGAUGUCUUUCGCACUAGCAUCUUCUUUAUGUUUAUUUCAAUUAAACGACGUAACUUUUGGAUGUACAGGAAGCCAACAAUUGCAGAUCAUGCUCUGGAAAGUGUUUAAAUUUAUGGUGCCUCCAGUCAAACACAUCCAAGAGCAAAAACAAAUGCAUCUUGAAGCACUUACACUACUCAAAUGUGUAUGCGAGGAAAUUAGAUCUUCAAAUGACCCUAACGCUUACAAAUUUGCCGAAGAUGCAGUUAUUCUUGCAACAAGGUUAGGGAUUCACGAGGUUAUAGAAGAGAUCGUGGAUUCAUAUCCCGAGUUAAUUUGGACGAGGGACAAUAACAAUCAUAACUUAUUUCAACGAGAAGUUUUAGAUCGCCAUGAAAAUGUGUUCAACCUCUUAUAUCAAAUGACUGAUCAAAAAAAAUGGGUUACAAAGUUUAUGAGACAAUCAUGAGGACACUAUUUUGCACUUAGCCGGAAUAUUGGCACCUCGAAGAAAACUCGAUCUUGUUCCUGGUGCAGCUUUGCGGAUGCAACGUGAGUUACAAUGGUUUGAGAGCUGUGCGUGUACGAAUUGAGACCAUCACGACUGAUCCUGAAGAGGAAUGAAUGGAAAAAAUAGCAUGUCGUAUCAAUGGAGCAUUCUAAGAAAUUGCUCGUCCUGCUUAGCUAAACAACACGAGUAAAACUAGUAUUUGAUGUUAGACAGUCUUCCUUUCAUUUUUGUCAAUCGCAUUUGGCUUAGAUGUUUUGUUUAUUUUGAUAACAGAGCUAGGUUGGAAAAGGUUUUGGGCUAGACUCUUUCAUCGUUGAUUUGAUUGACGCUCCCUUGAGCCAAAAUUGCAGAUUGUUUGAUGGUAAUCAUUGUGAUAUGCAUCUGCUAUUACCAUCCACGUGAAUAGUCCUUUUCGAACCUAAUCCCACAUCAGUUGAAUAGUAUGAUCUGACUAGUACAUGAAUAUCGGCGGUAUCUCCGAUCAUUUAAGGGGGAAGAUGACUAAAACAUGCAAGUUACAGACUCUAACUACCAAUAAUGUAGAGGAGAUGAGAUAGGCAGUUGGUCAAAUCUAUUAUGAAUCAAGUAUUUUAUGGCAUUCAACAUUGCAAUUGCAAGUCUAUUUUUAGUGCGGUCGCAAAAAAGGACAUUAUGUUACCAAGUUACCAACGAAGGCACUCCGGGUCCAAGCCCAACAAUUUUAACUAUAACUCUUAUACAUCCAUACAUUUACAUACAUAUAUAUGUGCCUACAAUCCAGUUCAAGUAAU
This is an RNA transcript of Rhododendron vialii, 1723 nucleotides long. It is a transcript of the gene named ankyrin repeat-containing protein NPR4-like, with no coding region annotated. The record is from RefSeq and is a predicted model, not a curated record. Lineage: Eukaryota; Viridiplantae; Streptophyta; Magnoliopsida; Ericales; Ericaceae. The transcript has 3 exons.